GCUCGGGUGGUGGAAUUGGUAGACACGCCGGACUUAAAAUCCUGUGCUCGUAAGGGCGUGCGGGUUCAAGUCCCGCCCCGAGUA
RNAcentral lists this transfer RNA (84 nucleotides) under Flavobacteriales bacterium. RNAcentral's name for it is "tRNA-Leu". It matches the Rfam family "tRNA". From Rfam's summary of the family: Transfer RNA (tRNA) molecules are approximately 80 nucleotides in length. The record is from RNAcentral. Lineage: Bacteria; Pseudomonadati; Bacteroidota; Flavobacteriia; Flavobacteriales.